This is a non-coding RNA of Sus scrofa (pig), 4360 nucleotides long. The record is from RefSeq and is a predicted model, not a curated record. NCBI's taxonomy places the organism in Eukaryota, Metazoa, Chordata, Mammalia, Artiodactyla, Suidae.
UUAUUUUUGUAAAAUUCUAUUUUAAAAAGUAAGCUGAGAUUAUGUUACUGUUUAUGAUAUAUAUAUAUAUAUAUAAAAUAGGGUUUGUAACUUUGUAUACAGUAUAUGUUUGAAUGUAUACAGUCAAAGUAGUUACCUUCUUUCCUUAAGUGUGGAAACAUGAGGUUGUAGUAGUAAUCCUUUCCUGGUUUUAGCCCUGACCCUGAUAGUUAGCUUCUGCAUCUGAUCCCAGACUUUAAAAUUUCUUGGAACUGUUUUCAACCCAUCAAACAGUUGGCAGGCGGGAAACUCUGGAGUGUCAUGCAAUCUACUUCAGUUAAAUGCUCCGACCGCUUGGGUAGUUGAUGGUUAUCGGGGUCCCACUGUUUAGGGAAUGGUUCUGUUUCUGUGGGGACAAAGGAGGAUGUGGGAUGUAGAGCACUUGGCAGUGUUGGGGCAAAGUGGUGGGUUGGGGAAGAAAGAGGAGGUGUCUGUGUCAUUAAGUUUUCAGCUUCCUUAUUGAAUGCCUCUCCUGUCAGGCAUCCUCUCCGGUUGCCUAUGAUCGAAAGGGUCAAAUACCUCUGCCAUCACCAAGCUUAGGGGUGCUUGCUGCGAGGGCUAGGCAUUGUGUAGAACACUUGACACACAGCAACUCGUGUCGUGUUCUAAUGAUCCUGAGAAGUAGGUAUUAUCACGAUUCCCGUGUAUGUAGGUGAGUAAAUGGAGGCACAGAGGCCGAAUUAACUCGCCUGAGGCCACGUGACUAGGAGAUGAGCUCCAGGAGACUGAGAAUGAGGAUGACAAAGCCUGCAUGGAGGAGAUCUCCUGUCAGACAUGAUGUUAGGUGGGGGACGAACAAGCAUGAAUUUUCCUAAGCCGCUUGGAAUUCACUGUUUGCUAGGCAGUAGAGCAUUAGGCCUUUGUGUUCACAGACUUUGGGGUGGAGGGACAUAGAAGAUGAGCAGUUAUUGUAUGUGCUGCAAUUGAGGUGUGUGCCCAGGUUAGAGGGAUGUGGUUGGAAGCUCCAAGUGAAAGAGUCCUGGAAGGAUUUUAGUAGCCAUGUGUCCUCUAGUGGGCACCCUAUGCCCCAGUGUGCUGGGAUAGCCCUAGUUUUUCUUGGCAUCCUAGCAUCAGUGUUAAUGAUGUCCUUUCUUUCUCUGAGUGUCUUAGUUUGGACAGUAAGUUAUGUAGUCACACUGUAUGACUGGAAGCAUCGUUUUUAGACCUGUAAUUCCCCUUUCUACACACUGGCUGGCUCCACACUUUCUCUUCAAGCUGUGGAACCUGUAGUCAAACAAACAAAAAAAGUGACGUUAUUAAUUUUUGCCAAGAGGAGUUCCCGUUGUGGCUCAGCAGUUAAUGAACCCGACUAGCAUCCAUGAGGAUUCAGGGAUUGAACUCGAAACCUCAUGAUUCCUAGUUGGAUUCGUUUCCACUGUGCCAUGAAGCUGUUACUCUUAGGUGGAAUUUAUUUUUGCCCCAAAUCUAGACAAUGGAUCGCUCCAGGUUCUAAUAUGUCUCAUUUCAGACAGCUUGUCCAGUUUUCAAUUGAAGAUAUUCUUCUUGUUCCACUUACUUCUGCUUAAGAGUCUUCCUAGAGCUAAGGAUAUUCACGGAGAAUCUAGUCCUUAAUUGACCCUUGUUUCAGUGCUGUCUUCUGUCCAGGGAAUCUUGCUGAAAAAUAGGGAGCAGGAAAAGAAGUCUCCUAGAUCCUCAUUAAAUAGCAGAACUGUCAGAGUUCCCUUCGUGGUGCAGCAGUUAACGAACCGGACAAGGAUCCAUGAGGAUGCAGGUUCGAUCCCUGGCCUUGCUCAGUGGGUUAAGGAUUCAGCAGUGAGCUGUGAUGUAGGUCUCAGAUGUGGCUCUGAUCUGUGUUGCUCUGGCUGUGGUGUAGUCCAGCAGUUGUAGCUUUAAUUCAACCCCUAUGCCGUGGGCGUGGCCCUAAAAAGCAAGUAAAUAAAUAAAUAGCAGAACUGUGAAGCAAGUUAUUCUGAUAAUGUUUCUGAUUCAUGUGGGGAUGGUUCUCCUGCAUUCUGAUCCCUUUUGCUUAGGGAUUCAUUCCCAUUUCCUUAUAUAACCCAUACUAUAAAAUUUAGAGGUUUCUUACAAAACCUACAAGGUUCCUCCAGCUUAAUGACUUUUAGUCUCUUGCCCUAGAUCCUGAGUUAGUGGGCUUGUCUGUGGAGACACUGCUGGAAUCAUCCAGCACUGUGUAGGCCACUGCCUUAGCGCUACAGCACCUGUUCCUCAGGUCAGACAGUGGAGAGGUUUGUGUGCGUCAAGGAGAACCUGCUGCCAACAUCUCUAAAUGCCUUUAGCUGCCCUGCGGUCCAGAGGGCUGGUCAGGCUGCGUGUGGCCAUCAUGUUUGGUUUCUGCUCUUUCGUGUACUUAAUUAAUUCAGCUCCACUUGUAUUGCAUUUGACCUCGGACACUCGGGUUUCUCUCUCACUUAGCCCUCUUCCUCCCUUUGAUGAGGUAUAACAUACUACAAAGUCCAUCCAUUUGAGCUGUGCAAGUCAGUUUUAGUCUGUUUUCAGAGCCGUGCGGAUAUUACCAUGCUCCAAUUCAAGAACGCUUCCAUCACCCUGGACAGCUCCCCUAUGCCCAGCUGACCCACUCCCUAUCCCUUCCCCAGCGCCCAGCAGCUGCUUCUUUACUUUCUGUACACUUCGUAUACGUGGAGUCCUGUACUCUGUGACCUUUUGUGUAUGGCUUCUUUCUCUGAGCAUUGUGUUUUCAAGGUUCAUUCACGCUGUAGAAUAUGUCAGUAUCCCAUCUCUUUUGGUGGUGAGUAGUAGUCCACUGUGUAGGGACUACAUUUUGUUUGUCCUUUCAACUUGAUGGCUAUUUUGAAUGAUGCUAAUAUGAGCAUCCACAUAAAAAUCUUGGUGGAGACAUCCAUUUUCAUUUCUCUUGGGUGGAUUCCUAGGAGUGAAAUUGCUGGGCUGUGUGGUAGGUUUAUUUUUAAAAAUUUUUUUUGGUCCCCACCUGCAGCAUAUGGAAGUUCCCAGGCUAGGCUAAAGGUUGAAUUGGAGCUGUAGCUGCUGGCUGACACCACAGCCAUAGCAAUGCCAGAUCUGAGCUGCGUCCUCAUGGACACUAGUCAGGUUCGUUAACACUGAGCCAUGACAGGAACUCCAGGUUUAUAUUUAACUUUGUAAGAAAUUGAGAGUUCCCUGGUGGCUCAGCAGAUAUCCAACGUUAUUGCUGUGGGUCUGUUUACUGCUGUAGCAUGGGUUUAAUCCCUGCCCUGGAAACUUCUGCAUACCACAGGUGCAGCCAAAAAGAAAGAAAUUGCCACAUUUUCUAGAGUGGCUGUACCAUUUUCUGUUUCCACCAAUAAUGUAUGAAGUUCUGGUUUCUUCACAUCCUCACUGAUGCCCCCCCCCCCUUUUUAAAUGGCCGUCUUAGUAGGUAUGUAUCUCCCCCCCACCUCAAAUGGCUGCACCCAUGGCAUUUUGAAGUUCCUGGGCCAGGGAUUGAAUCUGAGCUGCAGCUGUGGUCUGCGCCAUAGCUGAUGGCAGCACUGGAUCCUUAACCCACUGUGCCACAGUGUCAAGUCCUAUGUCUUGUUUUAACGUGCACUUUCGUAGUGACUAGCAACAUGGAACAUCUGUUCUUGUACUUUUUGGUCAUUUUUCCAUCUUUGGGGAAAUUAUUCAGAUCUUUUCUCCAGUUUUUAAAUUAAGUUGUUGGUGUUCUUAUUCUUGAGUUGUAAGUUUUCAUUAUAUGGUUUAGAUACAGGUCCUCUAUCAGAAAUGAUUUUCAAGUAUCUUUUCAUAUCCUUUAAAGACAUCUCUUUUAGAAAACUCUUGGCUCACUCCGGGCCCGGAAAUGAGGGAGGUUCACAGUGGCCUUCUGCCCCUCUCCAGCCUGUCUUUGGUGAGACAACAGAUUGUGUAGGUUUCCAGGGCUAAGGUAGAUUUUCUUCUCUGCAUUAAACCAAACCUCAGUUUUCCCUCUGUCUUUCUACUUUGCCCCUGCUCCCCCCCCUUUAAAAGGAAUUAAAAUUUUAGGCUGUUCUUGGUAUGUGCUUUAUUUUGAGCUCUGAGCAAAUCUGUUCUGAAAGGAACUCUUUGAUUUAGUCUACUAACAUUUUGGGAAAUUGAUAAAGCUCCUUGCUGUUACAGUUUAAACUUCUUAAUCCUUGUUAGGCCUUUGUGCAUCUUUUCCUCUGCGCAUACACCCUGUACUGAGUUGCCACUGGUAUUCUCUAUCUUAGGGUUUCCCCCUCUUUUUUGGUUGUGGAAUGGAAAUUGUUACUGAUAGCCAUGUCCUUCAUGGCUGCUACCUUGGAAAGUUAAUCCCCAGGUGAUUUUGUGUUUAUGGAUAUUACUGCUGAUAAUUACACAGCAACAAAUAGGAAAUAAUAAAAAAAAA